RNAcentral lists this long non-coding RNA (2698 nucleotides) under Equus asinus (donkey). RNAcentral's name for it is "lncRNA (ENSEASG00005026437.1)". The record is from RNAcentral. Lineage: Eukaryota; Metazoa; Chordata; Mammalia; Perissodactyla; Equidae.
CAUCUGUGCUUUGUCUGCUUCUGAUGUUUGCUCUUCCUGUGAUCUCUGCCUUUUAGUGUGCCUUAUAGUUUUUUCCUUGAUAGCCAGACAUGAUGCACUGGGUAAAAGGAGCUGCUGUAAAUAGACCUUUAUUAAUGUGGUGCUGAGAUGGGGGGGUGAGGGGAAGUUUUCUGUAGUCCUAUGAUUAGGUCUCAGUAUUUUAGUGAGCCUAUGCCUAUGGACUGUGAGCUUCGCAUGGGCUUCUCGUUCUUCUUUCCUUAUGUGGGGCAGGAUGACUAGAAUGGGCUUCAGUUGGGUAUUUCCCUUUCCCUAAGUCAGUUAGGCUCUGAUAAAACCCCAGCAGGUAAGGCUCUAGUUACACAGUUACACCUGUGGGCAGACGUUAAGAAGAACAGUGCUGAGAUAUUUCAAAAUGGUUCCUUUUCCUCUCUCCCUGCUGGAAGCUUGAGGAUUUUUCUCCCAUAUUUACUGUGAGAAUCUGGCUGAGCUCCUGGAGGUGAAACUCACAGUAGUGUGGUGGGCCCACCUAUGACUGGAUCCUCUUGGAGUUUUUAAUUCUUGGACUUGUCCACAGUGAACCUCCAGCAAUUUGUCAGUUACAGUUGAAGUUUUCCUCUCCCGGGACCAGUUCUGGAGGAGGUUUCAGCUCUUGAGUUUUGCUUGGCCUAUGCUGAGCAAGGAACUAUUAUUAGUGUUGGUGAUACCAAAAUUUGAAGACAAAAUUGCCUGUCACUGUGGAGCUUCCACUAUGUAAAACUGUCAAUGCUGUGCUAAAUGCCACCUUUAGUAGGAACCGUCUGCCCAGCCCAUACCUAGAACCUCAGACUUGCCUGAAAUUGGCCCUUCCUACAGGACAUUGCUGCUGUGGGGUGUUGUCCUCCUUUCUGUGACAUUUCUCUUGUCUGUGAUUUUUUUUCUGCUAAAUUCCUAUUGCCUCAACAGUUUGUCGAUGUCUUCGAACAGUGUUUCUGUUUUGUAUUUUAUAUGGAUUUUCUACUUGUGCUGGUGGAAGAAUUAAUCUCCCAAAAGGGACUCAGUCUCAUCAUGUGAUAUACUGUUAAAUAUCAGAAAGAAGAGAGCCAAUUCUAUAAAUGUUGGUCUGAAGACACGCAUACACACACUCGCAAAUACUCUAAACAUACAUGCAAUUAUUAAGAUGAGUGCUGUUCAUUUUUAUUCUAGAAGUGAUAUUUUUAAUUUUAACUUUGUUGAAUAUUAUGUUCCUGUAGUUUCCAAAAUUUCAGACAAUGAAAAUGGAAAGCCAUCCUCAGCAGAAGUAAAUUUAAAUAGUAAAGGAGUAUGUUUUAUUAUGAGACGCAUGGGCACUAUGGAAAUUAGAUGACAUAAUAUAUUUAUUUGGAGUUUUUAAUUUUUUUUUUUUUUUGGUGAGGAAGAUUCACCCUGAGCUAACAUCCUUUGCCAAUCAUCGUCUUUUUUUUUGCUUGAGGAAGAUAUGCCCUGAGCUGACAUCUUGCCAACCCUCCUCUAUUUUGUAUGUGGGAUGCCACCACAGCAUGGCUGAUGAGUGGAGGAGGUCCGUGCCUAGGAUCCAAAACCACAAACCCAGGCUGCCGAAGUGGAACACAUGGAACUUUAACCACUUAGCCAUGGGGAUGGCCCCUAAAUUAUUCUUGUAUAAUGCAAGGACAAAAAUAUAUUUAAUGAUGGUAAAACAUUUUGUUUUAAUCUAUCAAAAAUAGCUUUAGAUAUUAUGUAACAUUUUAGAUAGUGACUUCAUUGUAACGUGUUAUUUUUUCAUAAAUAAAAGUUUUAUUAUUAACUAGAGUGAGCAUGGCUUUCUAAAGAUCAUGUUGGUUAUCUUUGGUUUUCCUGGGAGGAAAAGGACUCUGUGCCCCUGGUAUUUUAGAUAAUAGAUUUUUGGCUAUGAACAGUUGAAUUACUUACGAGAUUGCUUUUUAAAUAAUACAUGAGUUUGAAUCCUAUGAUAACAUUUUCAAAAGAUAAUUAUUUGAUAAAGGAAUGGAUUUGAAGGCAUGUAAGAAUCUUGUGACUCCUUGUGUUCUAAACAUUGUAAGUGCCUGUCUCAAGAGCUUGUAAAAUGAGUAUGCUUUGUUGGUUGAUGUUCAUUGGUUUGUGGUUAUUUUAACUGAAAUUGACAGUAAUAUACUGUCUGUGUGUAUAUACUAUAUAUACAUGUGUGUGUAUAUACAGUGUAUAUAUGCAUUGUAUAUAUACAAUUGUAUAUACGUUGUGGCUGUUUCAGUUUCAAUCAUGCAAAGAUCAACAACAAGCAAUCUAUCUUCAGAAUAUUUAGUUUCUAUGAAAGGUAGUGGCAGAAAGAUUAUGUUGAUUAUUUUAAAGCUGUCUGUUUUUAUUUGAGAGAAAUUUAAACUGUCUGCAUCCUGUAUUAAGAUGUCUUUAUAAGUUUUCAACUUUUGAUGGAAGAACACAGUUAAAUAAUAUGAUUUAGCUUGUUUUAAACUAUUGGGUUUAUAAAUAUUGUUACCCGGGUAAUGAUUCCAUUUAAUAAAAACAUUCUUUGAGUGAAUUAGAUCUGAGACAUUAAAAAGUUCAGUUAAUAAUAACCUACACAGCGGAUGCAAAACAGAAGUAACCUUUGCUUAUUAGAAGGUCUGCCUUCAUUUUUUUUUAUAGGAGAGAGUAGCUUUAAUGGAUGUGCAAAAUGCAGAGUAAUCAGAGAAGUAAAUUAGGUCAAAAUAACUAAAUGAGGAUUUUG